AGGCUGCAACUCGCCUACAUGAAGUCGGAAUUGCUAGUAAUCGCGGAUCAGCAUGCCGCGGUGAAUACGUUCCCGGGCCUUGUACACACCGCCCGUCACACCAUGAGAGCCGGGGGGACCCGAAGUCCGUAGCCUAACCGCAAGGGGGGCGCGGCCGAAGGUAAAACUGGUGAUUGGGGUGAAGUCGUAACAAGGUACC
Molecule: ribosomal RNA, 199 nt
Filed under: uncultured bacterium
Lineage: Bacteria
Description: partial 16S ribosomal RNA
Rfam family: Bacterial small subunit ribosomal RNA
Source: RNAcentral